RNAcentral lists this ribosomal RNA (257 nucleotides) under uncultured prokaryote. RNAcentral's name for it is "partial 16S ribosomal RNA". It matches the Rfam family "Bacterial small subunit ribosomal RNA", at positions 524 to 780 of the family's 1533-position model. The record is from RNAcentral.
UACGGAGGAUGCGAGCGUUAUCCGGAUUUAUUGGGUUUAAAGGGUGCGUAGGCGGCUUUUUAAGUCAGCGGUGAAAUUUUGCAGCUUAACUGUAACAGUGCCGUUGAUACUGGGGAGCUAGGAUUUGGUUGCUGUGGGUGGAAUGCGUGGUGUAGCGGUGAAAUGCUUAGAGAUCACACAGAAUAUCGAUUGCGAAGGCAGCUCACAAAGCCAAGAUUGACGCUGAGGCACGAAAGUGUGGGUAGCAAACAGGAUUA